RNAcentral lists this non-coding RNA (193 nucleotides) under Staphylococcus dromedarii. RNAcentral describes it as "Staphylococcus sp. IVB6240 6S RNA". It matches the Rfam family "6S / SsrS RNA". Rfam says of the family: E. coli 6S RNA was the first non coding RNA to be sequenced, but its function was unknown until recently. It consists of 184 nucleotides that fold into an extended hairpin structure with a large single-stranded internal bulge. The 6S RNA specifically associates with RNA polymerase holoenzyme containing the sigma70 specificity factor. The record is from RNAcentral. Lineage: Bacteria; Bacillati; Bacillota; Bacilli; Caryophanales; Staphylococcaceae.
AGUCGUCUGGGAUGUUCGUAAGUUCGCUUUUUAUAUUUUGACCUAACACUCUUUGAUCAGGGAGUCUAAUUGGUUUUCUUGCAGCGCAUACGCCUCAAUGGAGGACGUGCUAAACAAGAAACAGGACACCCACCUGUAUAUAGCAGGCCAAAAUGAUCAAGCACUCAUAAACUACGGCAUUCAUGGAUUCUAU